RNAcentral lists this ribosomal RNA (1135 nucleotides) under Salmonella enterica. RNAcentral describes it as "partial 23S ribosomal RNA". It matches the Rfam family "Bacterial large subunit ribosomal RNA", at positions 430 to 1566 of the family's 2925-position model. The record is from RNAcentral. Lineage: Bacteria; Pseudomonadati; Pseudomonadota; Gammaproteobacteria; Enterobacterales; Enterobacteriaceae.
UAUCCUGUCUGAAUAUGGGGGGACCAUCCUCCAAGGCUAAAUACUCCUGACUGACCGAUAGUGAACCAGUACCGUGAGGGAAAGGCGAAAAGAACCCCGGCGAGGGGAGUGAAAAAGAACCUGAAACCGUGUACGUACAAGCAGUGGGAGCACCCUUUGGGGUGUGACUGCGUACCUUUUGUAUAAUGGGUCAGCGACUUAUAUUCUGUAGCAAGGUUAACCGAAUAGGGGAGCCGGAGGGAAACCGAGUCUUAAUUGGGCGUUAAGUUGCAGGGUAUAGACCCGAAACCCGGUGAUCUAGCCAUGGGCAGGUUGAAGGUUGGGUAACACUAACUGGAGGACCGAACCGACUAAUGUUGAAAAAUUAGCGGAUGACCUGUGGCUGGGGGUGAAAGGCCAAUCAAACCGGGAGAUAGCUGGUUCUCCCCGAAAGCUAUUUAGGUAGCGCCUCGUGAAUUCAUCUCCGGGGGUAGAGCACUGUUUCGGCUAGGGGGCCAUCCCGGCUUACCAACCCGAUGCAAACUGCGAAUACCGGAGAAUGUUAUCACGGGAGACACACGGCGGGUGCUAACGUCCGUCGUGAAGAGGGAAACAACCCAGACCGCCAGCUAAGGUCCCAAAGUCAUGGUUAAGUGGGAAACGAUGUGGGAAGGCCCAGACAGCCAGGAUGUUGGCUUAGAAGCAGCCAUCAUUUAAAGAAAGCGUAAUAGCUCACUGGUCGAGUCGGCCUGCGCGGAAGAUGUAACGGGGCUAAACCAUGCACCGAAGCUGCGGCAGCGACGCUGAUGCGUUGUUGGGUAGGGGAGCGUUCUGUAAGCCUGCGAAGGUGGCCUGUGAGGGUUGCUGGAGGUAUCAGAAGUGCGAAUGCUGACAUAAGUAACGAUAAAGCGGGUGAAAAGCCCGCUCGCCGGAAGACCAAGGGUUCCUGUCCAACGUUAAUCGGGGCAGGGUGAGUCGACCCCUAAGGCGAGGCCGAAAGGCGUAGUCGAUGGGAAACGGGUUAAUAUUCCCGUACUUGGUGUUACUGCGAAGGGGGGACGGAGAAGGCUAUGUUGGCCGGGCGACGGUUGUCCCGGUUUAAGCGUGUAGGUGUGUGUUCCAGGUAAAUCCGGUUCACUUUAACACUGAGGCGUGA